This is a long non-coding RNA of Contarinia nasturtii (swede midge), 494 nucleotides long. RefSeq lists it as uncharacterized. The record is from RefSeq and is a predicted model, not a curated record. The transcript is spliced from 3 exons. Lineage: Eukaryota; Metazoa; Arthropoda; Insecta; Diptera; Cecidomyiidae.
UUUGAUCAGUGAAUUUAUUUUAACGAAAUUUAACAGCAAAAGUAGAUAUAUAAUAUUUCUAAACCAAUAUGGCACAUGGAUAUGACUUAAGAAAUCCAAAACGACCACGGCCAACGGACGAUCCCAACGGUUGCUUGUACAGUGAAGGUGAUGAAGUGAUAGCACAAGAUCCACGGAAUCCUCGGGAUAAGACAUGAUAUGACGCUGAAAUUAAAGAGUGUAUUCGAGGCGGGGAAUUGUAUCAUGUUCAUUACAUAAAUUGGCACGACGAGAAGUAUGACUUGAAAUUGUCUGGAAAGUAUAUAAGGGAAAAAAAUGCCCCGAAAAAACGAAGAGUUACACGACGACAGAAAAGUCCACCACGACCAGUAAUACUACCACCACCACAGCAACCAAUACAACGACCACGUUCAGACGGAAUACUUCAGUACCAAAUGAAAAAAUCCAGAUGUAGUAGAUGCCGGGCAUGGCCUCAAAAUAGCAAUUCAUUUCAA